This 2896-nucleotide ribosomal RNA is filed under the name Clostridioides difficile. Its description in RNAcentral is "bacterial LSU rRNA". It matches the Rfam family "Bacterial large subunit ribosomal RNA". Lineage: Bacteria; Bacillati; Bacillota; Clostridia; Peptostreptococcales; Peptostreptococcaceae. The record is from RNAcentral.
UCAAGUUAUUAAGGGUGCAGGGCGGAUGCCUUGGCACUAGGAGCCGAUGAAGGACGUGAUAAGCUGCGAUAAGCUUCGGGGAGUUGCACGUAAACUUUGAUCCGAAGAUUUCCGAAUGAGGAAACUCACUUAGAGUAAUGUCUAAGUAUCAUUAAGUGAAUACAUAGCUUAAUGAGGGGAACUCAGGGAACUGAAACAUCUAAGUACCUGAAGGAAGAGAAAGAAAUUCGAUUCCGUAAGUAGCGGCGAGCGAACGCGGAUUAGCCCAAACCAAUAAAGUUUUCUUUAUUGGGGUUGCGGACAUAUCAUAACGAAGAGGUAUCGUAAUUGAAGAGGUUUGGAAAGACCCACCACAGAAGGUAAUAGUCCUGUAUGUUAAACGAGAAGACUUCAGAUAUGAUCCAGAGUACCACGGGACACGUGAAACCCUGUGGGAAGCAGGAGGGACCACCCUCCAAGGCUAAAUACUACCUAGUGACCGAUAGCGUAUAGUACCGUGAGGGAAAGGUGAAAAGAACCCCGGGAGGGGAGUGAAAUAGAACCUGAAACCCUGCACUUACAAGCUGUGGAAGCACAUUUCUUGUGUGACCGCGUACUUUUUGUAGAACGGGCCAACGAGUUACGUUAAGUAGCAAGGUUAAGCACUUAAGGUGCGGAGCCGUAGCGAAAGCGAGUUUUAACUGAGCGUUCAGUUACUUGACGUAGACCCGAAACCGGGCGACCUACCCAUGAGCAGGAUGAAGCGAAAGUAAAAUUUCGUGGAGGUCCGAACCCACGAGCGUUGAAAAGCUCGGGGAUGACUUGUGGGUAGCGGUGAAAUUCCAAUCGAGCCCGGAGAUAGCUGGUUCUCCCCGAAAUAGCUUUAGGGCUAGCCUCAAGGUGAGAGAUACGGAGGUAGAGCACUGAAUGUCCUAGGGGGUAUUGCACCUACCGAAGACUAUCAAACUCCGAAUGCCGUCAUCUUAUACUUGGGAGUCAGACUGUGGGUGAUAAGAUUCAUAGUCGAAAGGGCAACAGCCCAGAUCGUCAGCUAAGGUCCCUAAAUGUAAGUUAAGUGGUAAAGGAUGUGGGAUUGCACAGACAACCAGGAUGUUGGCUUAGAAGCAGCCACUCAUUCAAAGAGUGCGUAAUAGCUCACUGGUCGAGUGAUCCUGCGCCGAAGAUUUCCGGGGCUAAAACUUACUACCGAAGCUACGGCAUCAGUAAUGAUGGGUAGGGGAGCUUCCCAUACGGGUUGAAGCAUGACCGUAAGGACAUGUGGACAGUAUGGGAGUGAGAAUGUUGGCAUGAGUAGCGAGAUGUGGGUGAGAAUCCCACAGGCCGUAAACCCAAGGUUUCCAGGGGAAGGUUCGUCCGCCCUGGGUUAGUCGGGACCUAAGCUGAGGCCGAAAGGCGUAGGUGAUGGACAACAGGUUGAUAUUCCUGUACUACCGAUAACCGUUUGAGAGAAGGGAUGACACAGUAGGAUAAGCUAAGCACACUGUUGGUUAUGUGUGCCCAAGCAUUGAGGCGGUCAAAGUAGGCAAAUCCGCUUUGAUAAUGCUGGGAUGUGAUGGGGAGCGAAAUUUAGUAGCGAAGUAGCUGAUUUCACACUGUCAAGAAAAGUCUCUAUCGAGGUUAAAGGUACCCGUACCGCAAACCGACACAGGUGGGUGAGGAGAGUAUCCUAAGGCCAGCGAGAGAACUGUUGUUAAGGAACUCGGCAAAAUGACCCCGUAACUUAGGGAUAAGGGGUGCCACCAUCAGGUGGCCGCAGAGAAUAGGCCCAAGCGACUGUUUACCAAAAACAUAGGUUUCUGCUAAGUCGCAAGACGAUGUAUAGGAGCUGACGCCUGCCCGGUGCUGGAAGGUUAAGGGGAUCUGUUAGAGCAAUCGAAGCAGUGAACUUAAGCCCCAGUAAACGGCGGCCGUAACUAUAACGGUCCUAAGGUAGCGAAAUUCCUUGUCGGGUAAGUUCCGACCCGCACGAAAGGCGUAACGAUUUGGGCACUGUCUCAACAACAGACUCGGUGAAAUUGUAAUUCCGGUGAAGAUGCCGGAUACCUGCGACAGGACGGAAAGACCCCAUGGAGCUUUACUGUAGCUUGACAUUGGGUCUUGGUACUACAUGUACAGGAUAGGUGGGAGGCUUUGAAACCAGGACGCCAGUUUUGGCGGAGCCAUCCUUGGGAUACCACCCUUGUAGUACUGGGACUCUAACCAUAGGCCAUGAAUCUGGUCUUGGGACACUGUCAGGUGGGCAGUUUGACUGGGGCGGUCGCCUCCCAAAAGGUAACGGAGGCGCUCAAAGGUUCUCUCAGUACGGUCGGAAAUCGUACGUAGAGUGUAAAGGCAAAAGAGAGCUUGAUUGCAAGACAUACAGGUCGAGCAAGGAUGAAAAUCGGACUUAGUGAUCCGGUGGUUCUGCGUGGAAGGGCCAUCGCUCAACGGAUAAAAGCUACCCUGGGGAUAACAGGCUUAUCUCCCCCAAGAGUCCACAUCGACGGGGAGGUUUGGCACCUCGAUGUCGGCUCAUCACAUCCUGGGGCUGUAGUAGGUCCCAAGGGUUGGGCUGUUCGCCCAUUAAAGUGGUACGCGAGCUGGGUUCAGAACGUCGUGAGACAGUUCGGUCCCUAUCCGUCGCAGGCGUAGGAAAUUUGAGAAGACCUGUCCUUAGUACGAGAGGACCGGGAUGGACGUACCUCUGGUGUACCAGUUGUUCUGCCAAGGGCAUGGCUGGGUAGCUAUGUACGGAAUGGAUAAGCGCUGAAAGCAUCUAAGCGCGAAGCCAACUUCAAGAUAAGAUUUCCCACCGCAAGGGUAAGACUCCAGAAAGACUAUCUGGUUGAUAGGUCGAAGGUGUAAGUGCAGCAAUGUAUUUAGCUUAUCGAUACUAAUAGGUCGAGGACUUGACCAA